This 571-nucleotide ribosomal RNA is filed under the name uncultured Actinomycetes bacterium. RNAcentral describes it as "SSU rRNA". It matches the Rfam family "Bacterial small subunit ribosomal RNA", at positions 335 to 915 of the family's 1533-position model. The record is from RNAcentral. Lineage: Bacteria; Bacillati; Actinomycetota; Actinomycetes.
ACUCCUACGGGAGGCAGCAGUGGGGAAUAUUGCACAAUGGGCGAAAGCCUGAUGCAGCAACGGCCGCGUGCGGGAUGACGGCCUUCGGGUUGUAAACCGCUUUCAGUAGGGACGAAGGUAACCUGACGGUACCUACAGAAGAAGGACCGGCCAACUACGUGCCAGCAGCCGCGGUGAUACGUAGGGUCCGAGCGUUGUCCGGAAUUAUUGGGCGUAAAGGGCUUGUAGGCGGUCUGUCACGUCGGAAGUGAAAACUCAGGGCUUAACCCUGAGCCUGCUUCCGAUACGGGCAGACUAGAGGGAUGCAGGGGAGAACGGAAUUCCUGGUGGAGCGGUGGAAUGCGCAGAUAUCAGGAGGAACACCGGUGGCGAAGGCGGUUCUCUGGGCAUUUCCUGACGCUGAGAAGCGAAAGCGUGGGGAGCAAACAGGCUUAGAUACCCUGGUAGUCCACGCCGUAAACGGUGGGCACUAGGUGUGGGGGACAUUCCACGUUCUCCGUGCCGCAGCUAACGCAUUAAGUGCCCCGCCUGGGGAGUACGGCCGCAAGGCUAAAACUCAAAGGAAUGGACG